Molecule: long non-coding RNA, 523 nt
Organism: Gasterosteus aculeatus aculeatus (three-spined stickleback)
Lineage: Eukaryota; Metazoa; Chordata; Actinopteri; Perciformes; Gasterosteidae
Source: Ensembl
CCACGAACUAUGUUUAGAAAUCUUUCGAUCUUUGACCUGCUGCACUUUCACUGCAAGAUUAAAGCCCGGCGGUGAGGUCGACGGGCGUGGUUCUACUUUUCCGUGGCGGGCUGUAAAAAACACUGAUGUUGACAGGAGAUAAAAUACCAGAUUAAUGAAGAGCCAUAACGCCGUCAGUGUGACAAGCGGAGCAGCGAUGGUGACACAGAUGAAGACGUAGGACAGCGAAGGCACAUCUUCAUCAUCAGCUGGGCCGCGUGGCUCGUCUACAAGAAGAAGAAGAAGCACGUAGAUCCAGUCUUUACCCAAUGAAAUUGUUGGACAGGACACCGGACCGUCACGGGUCGCUGGGGGACAGUUUUCACCGUUGUGCCUCUUGGGACCAGCACCUCAACAUCACAAGGAAACACGUCUAAAACAAAAAAGAAAUCACAUUUCCCCCAAAAGUCAGUUUAUUUUAUCUUCAAUCAUUAACAUCAACACCUUUGACGUUUGUAAUCACAGUUUUCAUGUUUCCUGCGAU